Long non-coding RNA from Pangasianodon hypophthalmus (striped catfish), 4440 nucleotides. RefSeq lists it as uncharacterized. NCBI's taxonomy places the organism in Eukaryota, Metazoa, Chordata, Actinopteri, Siluriformes, Pangasiidae. The record is from RefSeq and is a predicted model, not a curated record. The transcript has 3 exons.
UUUCUAUACAUGGUUGCCAACCUCGCUAAUGAAAGACCCAUAGAUGCCAGAACUCUGAGCCCGGAAGACUGCGUGGACUACAUCAGUCCGAAUUCUCUUCUGCUUGGAAGAACUGGACCUAAAGGAGAUCUGGGUAGCUUUGAGUCUGAAAGCUAUCCUUAUAAAAGUUUGAGAGUCAUCCAAACUGAAGUAAACUGGUUCUGGAGAAAGUGGAGUCAAUUGGCUGGGCCUAACCUUUUUGUGAGGAAUAAGUGGCACACAAAACAGCAAAAUGGCGCUAUAGGAGACAUCGUCUGGAUAGCUGACCAGAACGCAUUAAGGGGUCAUUAUAGGCUUGCCAGAGUCGUCAGUGUCAACACUAAUAAGAAGGACAUUGUAAGAGAUGUAAAUGUGAGAAGUUACCCCAGUUAUCCAGUUUCAACUGUGAAGCCUGUCCAAAGAGAUAAAGCAAAGAAACUGUCAACCAAAAUUAGUGCUACAGUCCUUCAUAAGGACGUCAGACGAUUGAUUGUUUUACUUCCUGUAGAAGAACAAGAGCAAGAAUAAAGGUAAAGUUAUAGCAAGAUUAUUGGUGUGACCUCCUUGGGUUCGUGCACCAGGAGGUCAAGUGGGAGGUGUUACGUCAAGAAAUUCCUGCAGAGGGCAGUGUGUGGUUGCUGAGAUGGAACCUGUGUUUUCAGGGUCCAUCAGAACAAUAAAAUGGUGCACCUCUAAGAGCACAUGGAGGUGAAAAGUUUGGUUGAUUGAUUGUUUUACUUCCUGUAGAAGAACAAGAGCAAGAAUAAAGGUAAAGUUAUAGCAAGAUUAUUGGUGUGACCUCCUUGGGUUCGUGCACCAGGAGGUCAAGUGGGAGGUGUUGCGUCAAGAAAUUCCUGCAGAGGGCAGUGUGUGGUUGCUGAGAUGGAACCUGUGUUUUCAGGGUCCAUCAGAACAAUAAAAUGGUGCACCUCUAAGAGCACAUGGAGGUGAAAAGUUUGGAGAAGGUCUUCAUUGACAAACGAAGGACUUUCACCUAUUCAGCUCAAAUUCAACCCUGAAGACACAACUGCUACUGUGCUGCUUCUACUAUUGCUUUGCUAAGCCUUUGCAAGCAGAAGAAAAAUAAAAAAACAGUAAAGAUGAGUUAUCCUCUUGUGUCCUUCAAAACUUAAAGGCCAUUUAUCAAGUUUGGGCAGAGCUGAAUGGGAAAACCUAAAAAACUUGACAAGCCCAUAGCAGGUUUCAUCAUUAUUUUGGCUCAGUUUGGUUGCCAAACUGAAGGGUGUGUCUCAUACAACAAAAAUAACUACAAAUAUGACUGUUUUAAUACUUUGACUUUUUAUUUCCCAGCACAAACUAAUGCAUGUUUAUGACCUGCUGUAAAAACAACACCGUGUAUUAGCAUCCUGCCAACCCACAACUUGGUGAGUCAAACUGAACAAAAUAUUCCUUGAGACGACUUCCUCCCCAACCAGAAUCAUUGUCUAUUCAAAUCACAGAAGACCCUAAAUAGAAAUACAGGUGUGAAAUGCAAAUACCACUGCCUCACCCUUUCUGUGAGCUCCAGCAUUUUUCUCCGCAGUUCUCACCACAUAAUGUUCUGUUCCACUGAACAUGAAUAAAAUAGAAUUGGUUUAUUUAAAAAAAGUGUUUGAAAUGUGAUAAAUAAAACUUGUCACUCCAAAUCCAUUUGAAUCACUUUCUUGAGUAGAACACAAAGAAGAUAUUUAGUUAAAUAUUCAAGUUGUUUUUUCCCUAUACAGAUGACACAAAACCUCAAAACUCCUUUUGUGUUCCACUCCGGUCUUAUGGGUUUGGAAUGACAUUGGCAUUGUUACCAAUAGUACUAAAAGACACAGAUAAGAUAUGAAGCCCAAAACAGCGUGUGAGGCGAGUAUUGCUUCCAUGGCCCUUGAGUUUGCUGAAGUGGUUUUGCUUCUGUUGUGAUGUGAGAGCAGAAGGAGACAGGAAGGCACUUGGCGUACUCCACCAGCUCGUAAGACUCACGGAUGUCCGAAAGGCCGAGCCAGAAUACAAUCCAGCGACCAUUUAUGAAACUGCCAUCACAGUGCUUGAAGUACCUGAGGAUUUUAAAGCACAUAAGACAUGAAUGACGGACAAAGACUGAGACUGAGAAUCACAACAGGGCAAUGUGGAAGACAAGAUACACCAGGGAUUGAUGCAGUUCGUAGCGUGGGAUCUCCAGAAGAGCUUGCCCAAGUCCUGACGAAUACACUCCCACAAGAUCUGACCAGUUCCUUGGCCUUGCUUACUGCCGCUGACCACAAAUUUGUCCAGAUUAGAUUACUUCGCCAACCUCAUGGAUGCAGCAGGAGAACAGGACUGACAAAACGCCAUGGCAGCCCAAGGUCGGCUGGGAGAUCACCAACAGCACCUGGUCGAGCUGGAUGCCAAGUUGACCAUGCUCACCAAGAAAAUUGGGGAACAACUCCUCACUGUGACCCAGUGACAAAGACAUGCCGCUCACUCCCUCUAGGGAGUUUUUCUCUCGCCAGUCUUUUGCAGAUAAAACACUCAGACUGUGUCUCUGUUCUCUCAGUGCUGAUUGACUGCCAGAAAUUUCAUGGACCAAUCCACCGUAGAGAAACUCAACAUCAUCUGAAAAUUCAUGCUAUCGAUGCAGGACCGUCACUCUGUGCACCAAGCCCGCACAGUACAAAGUACUGCUAUCCUCUCCCACUCAUUCCAUCAGCUCUGGAAUGACUUUGUUCAGCCAAAAUUUUCACUAAACUUGAUCUACACAGUGCUUAUAACAUUGUUCACAUCAAAGAGUGGAAGACAGCCUUUAUUUGUCACAUAUACUUUACAGCACAGUGAAAUUCUUUUCUUUGCAUAUCCUAGCUUGUUAGGAAGUUGGGGUCAGAGUGCUGGGUCAGCCAUGAUACUGCACCCCUGGAGCAGGGAAGGUUAAGGGCCUUGAUCAAGAGCCCAACACACACACACCUAUCAUGAAGACUCAUCAUGAAGUAAAGCUCAAUGUACCUUUACCUGUUUUAACAAACAUAACCAGAACCAUACAUGCAUUAGUGCAAGACACCAGUAAUAGUAUUGUAUUACUGGUGUCUUGCACUAAUGCAUGCAUGGUUCUGGUUCUGUUAUUGUUAAUAACAACACUAUUAAUGUUUUGCUUUAUUGCAAUGCAACAUACAAAAUAUGGGCUUAGCAAUUAUUACUUUAAUAUUUUCUCUUUUUCCUUGCCUUAGAAUAAAAUGAAAAGGAUUUUCUAAUCAACAAUACACAAAGACAUCUAUUUUGGUACAGAAUCACAUACACUCACUGAACACUUUAUUAGGCACACCUGUACACCUAGUCAUUCAUGCAAUUAACUAAUCAGCUAAUUGUGUGGCAGAAGUGCAAUGCAUACAUUCAUGCAGAUACGGGCCAUCUUCACAUCAUCCAUCAGAAUGGGGAAAAAUGUGAUCUCAGUGACUGUUUACAUGCACAUCAAUAUUCUGAUAUUAAUCAGAAUUUGGCAAUAUUCUAAUUAGUAUUGAAUCAUGUAAACGCCGCAAUCUGAUUGCCCAAUUCAGAUUAAGACAGUAUUCUGAUUCCUCAAAUUCUGAUUCCCGCCUCUGGAAUAUGCGUAUUUUAAUUGGAAAUUUGUUGCAUGUAAAGAUCUUAUUCAGAAAAUCCACUGAAAUGAGAUAUAUGCGCAUGCUCAGUCCGCAAGGAAUUGUGGGUGCUAACAGAUGCUUAGCUUAACAGAUGCUUACUUGACCCUUUCAUUUCGAGGUGGUGUUGUCUGGCAUUUUUGAUGGAGAGAAGUGUUUGAGUCCUAAUUAAAUUAGUGUGAAAAAGUAGUAAUAAAACUAAUAACUGAGCAUACUCUAUAAUCAACGGCAGCAUGGAAAAGAGCAUGUGUAGAUAGGCAUACUUACAACCAUGUAUACAAGAAUAUGCCAAUACCUCUACGCGUAUAAACAUUGCAUUCAGAAUAUGUCUGCAACCCGAAUAUAUACCUUAAAUGGAAUUUGAUGUGCAUGUAAACAUAGCCAGUGAUUUUGACCAUAGCAUGAUUGCUGGUGUCAGAUGGGCUGGUUUAAGUAUUUCUGUAACUCCUGAUCUUCUGGGAUUUUCACACAGUCUCUAGAGUUUACUCAGAAUGGUGCAAUAAAGAAAAAACAUCCAGUGAACAGCAGUUGUGCGGACGGAAACGCCUUGUUGAUGAGAGAGGUCAACAGAGAAUGGCCAGACUGGUUCGAGCUGACAGGAAGGCUACAGUAACUCAGAUAACCACUCUGUACAAUUGUGGUGAGCAGAAAAGCAUCUCAGUAUGCACAACACAUCAAACCUUGAGGCGGAUGGGCUACAACAGCAGAAGACCACGUUGGGUUCCAAUUCUGUCAGCUGAGAACCGAAAGCUGAGGCUGCAGUGAGCACAGGCUCACUAAAACUGGACAAUUGAAGACUGGAAAAACAUAGCCUAUUUGAGUAUUGUUG